UUUCCGGUUGAUCCUGCCGCCGGUCACUGCUAUCGAGUUCCGACUAAGCCAUGCGAGUCACAGGCCGUAAGGUACUGGCAGACGGCUCAGUAACACGCGGAUAAUCCAACCUUAGGUGGGGCAUAGCCUUGGGAAACUGAGAUUAAUUCCCCAUAGAUCCCGAAAACUGGAAUGUUACGGGUUUGAAAGUCACGACGCCUAAGGACGAGUCUGCGGCCUAUCAGGUUGUAGGUGGGGUAAAGGCCCACAUAGCCUAUGACGGGUACGGGCACUGAGAGGUGUAGCCCGGAGAUGGGUUCUGAGACACGAACCCAGGCCCUACGGGGCGCAGCAGGCGCGAAACCUUCGCAAUGCGCGCAAGCGCGACGAGGGGAACUCGAGUGCCAUUGCCAUUUUUGGUGAUGGCUUUUCUUGAUCCUAAAAAGAUCAGGGAAUAAAAGCUGGGUAAGACGGGUGCCAGCCGCCGCGGUAAUACCCGCAGCUCGAGUGGUGGCCACUAUUAUUGAGCCUAAAGCGUCCGUAGCCGGUCUUGUAAAUCUCUGGGUAAAUCCCGCCGCUUAACGGUGGGAAUACUGGAGAGACUGCAAGACUGGGGAUCGGGUGAAGCGAGAGGUACUCCUGGGGUAGGGGUAAAAUCCUGUAAUCCUGGGGGGACGACCGGUGGCGAAAGCGUCUCGCUAGAACGACUCCGACGGUGAGGGACGAAGGCUAGGGGAGCAAACCGGAUUAGAUACCCGGGUAGUCCUAGCUGUAAACGCUGCACACUUGGUGUUGCCCCUUCUUAGGGAAAGGGCAGUGCCGGAGCGAAGGUGUUAAGUGUGCCGCUUGGGGAGUAUGGUCGCAAGGCUGAAACUUAAAGGAAUUGGCGGGAGAGCACCGCAACGGGAGGAGCGUGCGGUUUAAUUGGAUUCAACGCCGGA
This 920-nucleotide ribosomal RNA is filed under the name uncultured archaeon. RNAcentral describes it as "bacterial SSU rRNA". It matches the Rfam family "Archaeal small subunit ribosomal RNA", at positions 1 to 922 of the family's 1478-position model. The record is from RNAcentral.